CAGGACGAACGCUGGCGGCGUGCCUAACACAUGCAAGUCGAGCGAUGAAGUUCCUCGGAACGGAUUAGCGGCGGACGGGUGAGUAACACGUGGGUAACCUGCCUUGUAGAGGGGGAUAGCCUUCCGAAAGGAAGAUUAAUACCGCAUAACAUCUUUUUAUCGCAUGGUAGAAAGAUCAAAGGAGCAAUCCGCUACAAGAUGGACCCGCGGCGCAUUAGCUAGUUGGUGAGGUAACGGCUCACCAAGGCGACGAUGCGUAGCCGACCUGAGAGGGUGAUCGGCCACAUUGGAACUGAGACACGGUCCAGACUCCUACGGGAGGCAGCAGUGGGGAAUAUUGCGCAAUGGGGGAAACCCUGACGCAGCAACGCCGCGUGAAUGAAGAAGGCCUUAGGGUUGUAAAGUUCUGUUUACGGGGACGAUAAUGACGGUACCCGUGGAGGAAGCCACGGCUAACUACGUGCCAGCAGCUGC
RNAcentral lists this ribosomal RNA (474 nucleotides) under uncultured bacterium. Its description in RNAcentral is "bacterial SSU rRNA". It matches the Rfam family "Bacterial small subunit ribosomal RNA", at positions 25 to 518 of the family's 1533-position model. The record is from RNAcentral.